GUCGCACUGUGAUGCUUUGACUACUGGGGUAAAGGCACACAAGUGAUCGUCACAAAUUCAGUUCCCAAAGCACCAAAUGUGUUUAUGAUGUCUCCGUGUGAAUCCUCACCUGGUUCCCUACUUGUUGGCUGUUUGGCCACUGGGUUUUCACCCGCUGAAUCUGUCAAUUUCAAAUGGAUGGAUCAGCGCGGAAAUUCUUUGACUAAUUUCAUCCAGUACCCCACAGUAGGAACUGGAAACAAGAUGUUGAAAGUCAGCCAUAUAACUAUUAAUGAAGCAGAAUGGAAUCAAAGUAAAAUUAUAUGUGAAGCAGGACACCCAUCAGGAAAUGUCACAGAAACAUUCACAACAGUGAAACCACAAACACCAACCCUGAGCUUGGUUCUUGUAACAACUCUGAAAAGUACAUCCGUCAUGUGUGUCAUUGAGGAUUUCUAUCCCAAGAAGAUCGAUGUACAAUGGAAAGUGAAUAAUACCAACAGCAUGAGCCAGCUAAAACUGGAACGCAAACUGAAUGAUACAGGUCAUUAUACAGCAUACAGUUUUUAUGAAGUCAGCAGAGAGAAUUGGGAUGUGAAUACUCAGUAUACCUGUGAGGUCACACACCGGGGAAAACCGUUUACCACGACAGCAUACUUCAAAGCUAAAUUUGCACUGACACUGAAGCCACCAAUUCAGAGAGAAAUAUUUUUAAAAAAUGAAGUUGUCUUGGAAGCUGUUGUUUCUGGAGAUAUAAAAGAUACAGUGGAAAAAGCUUCAGUGUCAUGCUCCGUGAAAGAAGCUAGAAUCGAUGUGAGACCAGGAACAGUCAAGUUUUCUAAUGACAUUUCACAGUUUAUAAAAAAACACAAUGUCACUGUUGACACAAAGAAAUGGUUUGAUGGUGAAAUGGUCACCUGCACCACCAGUGACACAAAUAAUAACGGAGACAUCGAGCAGAAGAUCCGUUUUCAUAAAGGAGAUGAAAAGAAACCAAGUGUUACCAUUUACAAACCCGAUAGUAACGUCACAGAUCCUGUCUCUCUGGUGUGUGAGGUCACCAGUCUUAAACUCGGCGAUGUCUAUAUCAUGUGGAGAGUGGGUAAAGAGCCUUACAGAGAGGGCACAACCAGUGCUCCCAUCCAUCAAAAGGACUCCACGUCUGUUCUCAGCAUCCUAACAAUGACAAAAGAAGAGUAUAACAACAUCAUCAUCUGCGCAGUCAAACAUGCCAACAUGGACAAUAUAAGUGCUCCAUUACAAGCUUCAACAAGCCAAAGUAAACAGCCAGAACUUUCAUGUGAUUAAUGUGCAAGCAUUUCCAAACUAUCAUUGUUCAUCUGUUGUUCAGUGUUCCAGUGCUUUUGUCCUGUUGCUGUCUCGUCAGAUUAUGUACAGUAUCUUUGAUGUUUUUUGUGCAUAUUUCUGUCUCUAUGUCUGUAUCACUUUACUGCAUGGGUCAAACAUCAAAGUCAAAUUACACUCAAGACUAUAUGUUUAAUUUGAUAUUUACUUACAUGUUGCAUGUAAGUAAAUAUGGUCACAUGAAAACAUUGUCAGAACAAUAUCAUAGAGCUUCUUUAUGUUUUGUUCCGUGCUCACUGUACUGCUGUUAGCCUAUAAUAUAACAUGCCAUUUUUGUGUUGUUUUACAAGCAAUAAAUAUUUGUUUGCAUGA
Sinocyclocheilus rhinocerous is the source of this 1656-nucleotide non-coding RNA. The record is from the annotation of a RefSeq genome assembly. Lineage: Eukaryota; Metazoa; Chordata; Actinopteri; Cypriniformes; Cyprinidae.